AUUGAACGCUGGCGGCAGGCUUAACACAUGCAAGUCGAGCGGAGAGAGGUAGCUUGCUACUGAUCUUAGCGGCGGACGGGUGAGUAAUGCUUAGGAAUCUGCCUAUUAAUGGGGGACAACAUUUCGAAAGGAAUGCUAAUACCGCAUACGUCCUACGGGAGAAAGCAGGGGAUCUUCGGACCUUGCGCUAAUAGAUGAGCCUAAGUCGGAUUAGCUAGUUGGUGGGGUAAAGGCCUACCAAGGCGACGAUCUGUAGCGGGUCUGAGAGGAUGAUCCGCAACACUGGGACUGAGACACGGCCCAGACUCCUACGGGAGGCAGCAGUGGGGAAUAUUGGACAAUGGGCGGAAGUCUGAUCCAGCCAUGCCGCGUGUGUGAAGAAGGCCUUAUGGUUGUAAAGCACUUUAAGCGAGGAGGAGGCUACUUUAGUUAAUACCUAGAGAUAGUGGACGUUACUCGCAGAAUAAGCACCGGCUAACUCUGUGCCAGCCGCCGCGGUAA
This 501-nucleotide ribosomal RNA is filed under the name uncultured bacterium. RNAcentral's name for it is "partial 16S ribosomal RNA". It matches the Rfam family "Bacterial small subunit ribosomal RNA", at positions 30 to 523 of the family's 1533-position model. The record is from RNAcentral.